Molecule: ribosomal RNA, 450 nt
Filed under: uncultured bacterium
Lineage: Bacteria
Description: partial 16S ribosomal RNA
Rfam family: Bacterial small subunit ribosomal RNA
Source: RNAcentral
GUGGGGAAUAUUGGACAAUGGGCGCAAGCCUGAUCCAGCCAUACCGCGUGGGUGAAGAAGGCCUUCGGGUUGUAAAGCCCUUUUGUUGGGAAAGAAAUCCUAUCGGUUAAUAACCGGUGGGGAUGACGGUACCCAAAGAAUAAGCACCGGCUAACUUCGUGCCAGCAGCCGCGGUAAUACGAAGGGUGCAAGCGUUACUCGGAAUUACUGGGCGUAAGGGGUGCGUAGGUGGUGGUUUAAGUCUGCUGUGAAAGCCCUGGGCUCAACCUGGGAAUUGCAGUGGAUACUGGAUCACUAGAGUGUGGUAGAGGGAUGCGGAAUUUCUGGUGUAGCAGUGAAAUGCGUAGAGAUCAGAAGGAACAUCCGUGGCGAAGGCGGCAUCCUGGGCCAACACUGACACUGAGGCACGAAAGCGUGGGGAGCAAACAGGAUUAGAUACCCGAGUAGUCC